RNAcentral lists this long non-coding RNA (1970 nucleotides) under Zea mays. RNAcentral's name for it is "long non-coding RNA (ZMAY_LNC001328)". Lineage: Eukaryota; Viridiplantae; Streptophyta; Magnoliopsida; Poales; Poaceae. The record is from RNAcentral.
UACACCUUGAUAAUAUAAGAUAAUGGGCACAUUAUCCAAAGCUAAAAUCCCAUGCCUACCAAACGACACCUUGGAAAGAUAUCGUGCUUAAGUUUUGUAAUGCAGAUUCAAUAUAACAAGCCAAAAUUGUAUAGUAUACCAAGUUAACAACUCACAAAGACCUUAAAUUGUGAUAAACCGGUUCAAAUUGAUGUCUUGUGCAUGUGUUCAAUAUAUGUGGUCUUUUCUCAAUAUAUAUGUUUAUGUACAUUAUUAUUCACUUACUAAUUUGUUAUCCUAACUGAUUCUGAUUGCCUGUUAUCCUAACCGAUUCUACAUGCCUGCUCAUCUCGCUGGACGAAUGCAUCUUCAAUUUAGCAAAGAUUAUGACACUUAAUGACAACAGGUAUGGUCAAAUAACAUAAGCGCCCUGCACGCCCCUCCCCCUUUAUUGUUAACCUAUUGAUCCUCAUAUUACCUUUUUUCUUGCUAUAUUCUUAUAAAUACUUUCUUCUGUUAUCUAAAGCAACACUUUGAACCAUGUAAACACCUCGAUUCAACAAUAUAAAUAUAUCAGCUAAAUAUUCACUUUAUUUACACAUGACUACAUGAUUGCAACAAUUAUUACGAAUCAUUAACUGAAAAUGUGUUGGAAGCAUGCUGACUGCUUGACAAUUCUCAGAGCCGACUCUAUUGUUUCUUCAUGCAUUUCAGAAAAAGCAGGAGGCUCUGAAGCAGCUGAGGAAGAGCCUAACCUUCACCCUUCAAAGAUAUAUAGAAAUGAGUAGAUGGCCUCCAAUCACUUCCUCAUUUUUAAUGUAUUUCAAAUGUUCUUGGUACUACAGCAAGCUCAUGGUACUUUAAUCCUCAAUUCCUGAAGCACAGGUCUACUACAGCAGGUACAACAAGAUAGGAUAGAAGACAAUACCUUGCAACACUGGCUGUUCCUUUCUCUUUUUUUUGUUUUUUCCCGUUCACAAAUAUGCUUCUCUGUAGUCGUAAUUUUACAGUUAGCUACAAUAAUCUAAUAACAUAGCAAUUCCAUAAUUUGAGCCGAAGUUGUGGUUGAAGCCUGUACUUAUCAUUAUUUUCCAUAUAUACACAACUAAUACAGAAUAUGACACCACAAAAAGUAUUCUUCAAGAGAACUAAAUAGAUAUUUGCACUAACACUUGCUCUUGUCUCAUCCAAAAUUUGACAUUAUCUGAAGGUUACAAAACAGUGAGCUACAACUGAUACAACCCACUGCAACCGAAGAAGAAAUUCAGAAUUCCUAGCCACCAAACUACGAAGACAAAAAUGUCGAGGAGUUGCUUUAUAUAGAUCCAGACAUGUUUCCUGUAAUCACUGUCACCUGCUCCUAUAUUCCACUUCUUUUGUACAUCAACAAUGUGAUAUACUGCAUCUUUUUUUUCUCUUUUGUGAUGCAGCCACAAGGUUAUAGAUGCACUGUCACUAUUCACGCAUUAUACAAGAUAUAUAGCAGAUGGUGGUUCCCAUUUUGCACCACUCAUCAAGAGCAACAACACUUUUGGAGAGAUGUAUCUGUAUAAAUAUAAACCAGCUGUUGGACUAUUUCUGAUCUGUAUAUAUUGAAGCAGCGCCUAGAAACAUAUUGUUACCAGCUCUUGGUGCACACUACUUUAAUACUACUUAAUAUGUAUUAUAGUCUCAGUUCACUCUCCAGCUGACAUAAAUGCUACAAUUCCAUUGACAGCUGCUGCCAAAAAAGCUUGCAUUUGGCCUGAUACUUAUGCACUCAUGUCCUGAAUAACGAUUAUUCUACAUGUGCAAGUGUUCAUGACAUAGCAUCAAGUUUUACAUGCUUAUAAAACAAGAUUUUACACCAUAAUUUCACACGCGCCCAUGGGCGCGCUCCAUACACUAGUGACAUAUACCCGUAGUGAUUUGGAAGAGAGAGAGAGAGAGGUCAGUCAUCCAUGCAGAUUUGGAUAGGAUUUGAGAUGACAGGGUUUUGCAGCACAUCUACG